Long non-coding RNA from Papaver somniferum (opium poppy), 219 nucleotides. RefSeq lists it as uncharacterized. The transcript is spliced from 3 exons. Lineage: Eukaryota; Viridiplantae; Streptophyta; Magnoliopsida; Ranunculales; Papaveraceae. The record is from RefSeq and is a predicted model, not a curated record.
GGGGUGAUGAGUUUGAGAAGCUGUAUACCAAGUACGAGGUGGAGGGUAAAGCAAAGAAGGUGAUUCCUGCACAAAAUCUGUGGUUUGAGAUUCUGAAAUCCCAGAUAGAAACUGGAAACCCGUAUAUGCUCGUCAAGGAUACUUGCAACAGAAAAAGUAACCAGCAGAACCUGGGAACUAUUAAAUCUUCAAAUUUGUGCACAGAGAUAAUUGAAUAUA